GAUGAACGCUGGCGGCGUGCCUAACACAUGCAAGUCGAACGGAGUCGUUUUGGAAAUCUCUUCGGAGAUGGAAUUCUCGACUUAGUGGCGGACGGGUGAGUAACGCGCGAGCAAUCUGCCUUUAAGAGGGGGAUAACAGUCGGAAACGGCUGCUAAUACCGCAUAAAGCAUUAAAUUCGCAUGUUUUUGAUGCCAAAGGAGCAAUCCGCUUUUAGAUGAGCUCGCGUCUGAUUAGCUAGUUGGCGGGGUAACGGCCCACCAAGGCGACGAUCAGUAGCCGGACUGAGAGGUUGAACGGCCACAUUGGGACUGAGACACGGCCCAGACUCCUAUGGGAGGCAGCAGUGGGGAAUAUUGCGCAAUGGGGGAAACCCUGACGCAGCAACGCCGCGUGAUUGAAGAAGGCCUUCGGGUUGUAAAGAUCUUUAAUCAGGGACGAAACAAAUGACGGUACCUGAAGAAUAAGCUCCGGCUAACUACGUG
RNAcentral lists this ribosomal RNA (483 nucleotides) under uncultured bacterium. RNAcentral describes it as "partial 16S ribosomal RNA". It matches the Rfam family "Bacterial small subunit ribosomal RNA", at positions 28 to 507 of the family's 1533-position model. The record is from RNAcentral.